Molecule: ribosomal RNA, 465 nt
Filed under: uncultured bacterium
Lineage: Bacteria
Description: partial 16S ribosomal RNA
Rfam family: Bacterial small subunit ribosomal RNA
Source: RNAcentral
GAUGAACGCUGGCGGCGUGCUUAACACAUGCAAGUCGAACGAUGAAGCCCAGCUUGCUGGGUGGAUUAGUGGCGAACGGGUGAGUAACACGUGAGUAACCUGCCCUUAACUCUGGGAUAAGCCUGGGAAACUGGGUCUAAUACCGGAUAGGAGCGUCCACCGCAUGGUGGGUGUUGGAAAGAUUUAUCGGUUUUGGAUGGACUCGCGGCCUAUCAGCUUGUUGGUGAGGUAAUGGCUCACCAAGGCGACGACGGGUAGCCGGCCUGAGAGGGUGACCGGCCACACGGGGACUGAGACACGGCCCAGACUCCUACGGGAGGCAGCAGUGGGGAAUAUUGCACAAGGGGCGCAAGCCUGAUGCAGCGACGCCGCGUGAGGGAUGACGGCCUUCGGGUUGUAAACCUCUUUCAGUAGGGAAGAAGCGAAAGUGACGGUACCUGCAGAAGAAGCACCGGCGAACUACGU